AAAUACGUGAUAGGAGGGUGGAGUCCCGUACAAGGGGAGAGGAAGAACUGGCGGUGCCACUGCAAGCAGCGGUUACAGCAGUCAGCCCAACAGUUGAGACCGUGCACAGAUGCAUGCAAGGAGACUGUGGAAAGAGCAGGAUCUCCUUUCCUUUCCAGAAGGGCACUUAGAUGGAUGAAAGGAGAAUUGCAUACUCUCAGAUUUCAAUCCACUGGUGUUGAAGAAUAGAGAAGCCUACAGAUUCUGAUGAUGGUCCUUCUGGUUGUGCUAUGUGGGAUGCCACCUCAGCAUGGCCUGAUGAGUUGUGCUACGUCUGUGCCGAGGAUCCAAACCAGCGAAACCUUGGGCCACUGAAGUGGAGCAUGCAAACUUAAGCACUUGGCCACAGGGAUUCCAAGUGUAAAGAGAAGCAGAAGCCAAUGGCACUGAAUCAACUGGAACUCCCAAUAGCAGAAUAUGAGAGUUGCCGUUUCUCUACAUCCUUGCCAACACCGACUAUUGGCAAUGGUGUAACUCUAGCCAUUACGGGCCGGCCUGAUGGCCAAGUGGUUAAGUUCAUGCGCUCUGCUUCGGCAGCCCAGUGUUUUGCCAGUUGGGAUCCUAGGUGCGGACAUGGCACCACUCAUCAAGCCAUGCUGAGGUGGUGUCCCACAUGGCACAACCAGAAGGACCUACCACUAGAAUAUACAACUGUGUACUGGGGAUCUUUGGAGAGAAGAGGAAGGAAAAAAAAGAAAGAAUAUUGGCAGCAGAUGUUAGCUC
Molecule: long non-coding RNA, 762 nt
Filed under: Equus caballus (horse)
Lineage: Eukaryota; Metazoa; Chordata; Mammalia; Perissodactyla; Equidae
Description: lncRNA (ENSECAG00000053417.1)
Source: RNAcentral